Molecule: long non-coding RNA, 700 nt
Organism: Momordica charantia (bitter melon)
Lineage: Eukaryota; Viridiplantae; Streptophyta; Magnoliopsida; Cucurbitales; Cucurbitaceae
Source: RefSeq, a predicted model, not a curated record
ACUUCAGAAUCUCCAAGUUCAAGAUGGAGAUCAAUCGGAAGCUCAAGGCCUUGUUUGUGCGAGAAAUCAGAGGCGAGCGGGAAAGGGCGUAAGAUUGAGGAAAUUUUUUGGCAUCGGUGACUUGGAAGAUGAACACCGAUUCUCCAUUUUCCAAGUCCACCCAUGCCCGCUGAUUUUCUAAUCUCUUCCCCCUUUCCCUUCACCCUCACCACAUCCGCAGAUCCGUUUGCCAUGGAUGUUGGUCUGAGGGUUUUCUUGAAGAUCUCCUGCCCUCCAGAAGGCAAAGAUUAGAAGAAGAUUAUUGUUCACCAUUUUUUUGGUUGAUUGUCUCAUCGUCUAGUAAGGAUACAAUCUCCGUAGCUAAUGACAGCAGCACCAACCUAUGAAACUCUUUUUAGGUAAUCUAAAGGUAGGUUUGAUUGGUUCAAGAUCUUAAAAUAAGUUGUGUAAAACAAGAAUUUUAUGGUAUCCAGAUAAUGUGUUGGGUUCAAAGUUUUUGUUCUGCUCUAUUUUAUUAUUAGGUUCUUUUUGAGUAAACGUCAAGUCUAUUGUGUCAAUAAAAGUGGGUUCCUUUUUGUGGGAUUUGGAGGGAAUGAAUUGUUUUUUUAUUUUUGGGUCAAAUAUGAGGAGGUGAUAAUUCGAAUUCACAACCUUUUGAUUGGAAAUAGAUAUUCUCGAGCUAUGCUUGGUUUGGUUUGAA